UGCCUUAAAAAAAAGCCUGAAAAACGGGAGCUCGAGCGGAAGUAACUAUUACAAUUAAAAUUGAUCUAGAAGCUGAAAUAUAUCCUCGAGGUUGAACUACAUUGAACAUUACACGACAUCUGUUGUAAACAAAGUUAUCUCGUGGAUUUCAGUGGAUUAAAAACCAGUCUGGCUAUCGACAAUAGCAGUGGAUGUUACCCCACAGACUGUUUUUUUUUUUUAGGCUUCUCUGGUCCCGGAUCCCUGAUGUUCUUUCCAUUGAGGCUGGAUUCUUCUCUGUUCACCCUGGUGCCUGGUUCCUUGGUCCACUGCCUCAUCUAACAGCGCUGCAACGGUCACAUUGGGUGGUUUGAUAUG
This is a long non-coding RNA of Sander lucioperca (pikeperch), 357 nucleotides long. RefSeq lists it as uncharacterized. The transcript has 3 exons. The record is from RefSeq and is a predicted model, not a curated record. Lineage: Eukaryota; Metazoa; Chordata; Actinopteri; Perciformes; Percidae.